UGGGGAAUAUUGCACAAUGGGCGAAAGCCUGAUGCAGCGACGCCGCGUGAGGGAUGACGGCCUUCGGGUUGUAAACCUCUUUCAGCAGGGACGAAGCGCAAGUGACGGUACCUGCAGAAGAAGCACCGGCUAACUACGUGCCAGCAGCCGCGGUAAUACGUAGGGUGCAAGCGUUGUCCGGAAUUACUGGGCGUAAAGAGUUCGUAGGCGGUUUGUCGCGUCGUUUGUGAAAACCAGCAGCUCAACUGCUGGCUUGCAGGAGAUACGGGCAGACUUGAGUACUGCAGGGGAGACUGGAAUUCCUGGUGUAGCGGUGAAAUGCGCAGAUAUCAGGAGGAACACCGGUGGCGAAGGCGGGUCUCUGGGCAGUAACUGACGCUGAGGAACGAAAGCGUGGGUAGCGAACAGG
RNAcentral lists this ribosomal RNA (409 nucleotides) under Brucella melitensis. Its description in RNAcentral is "partial 16S ribosomal RNA". It matches the Rfam family "Bacterial small subunit ribosomal RNA", at positions 355 to 776 of the family's 1533-position model. RNAcentral also lists the same sequence under 1 other name. The record is from RNAcentral. Lineage: Bacteria; Pseudomonadati; Pseudomonadota; Alphaproteobacteria; Hyphomicrobiales; Brucellaceae.